Molecule: long non-coding RNA, 1513 nt
Filed under: Sinocyclocheilus grahami
Lineage: Eukaryota; Metazoa; Chordata; Actinopteri; Cypriniformes; Cyprinidae
Description: lncRNA (ENSSGRG00000044145.1)
Source: RNAcentral
CCAUUUUGCAUUACAGUAAAGGAAAUUUGAGGUACAGUAUGCUUAUUUUCUCAAUUAAAAUAUUUUAUGUAAAAUAUGAUUUUUCAUUUUUGCAUUAAAGAAAAUAAGAUAUUGACUUAAAUAGGCUUCAUUGACUUUAUGCAAAAUAUGAUUUAUUUUCCUUUUCCUUUGGUUAUGGGGUACAUUAUGACACAAACACGUCCUUGAUAGGUUUUGGCUAUUAAAGUAUCACCGGUAUUGUAUGUGCUACUGCAACUUUCCGUUUCAACAAGAAAUGCGUGAACAGAAAACAACCGCUUGUUGAGCCAUUUCAUGGGGUCUUUAAUUCAACUGAUGGAUAACCCAUAAUGCACAUUCAGUUAAAGGUUUUUACUGAGAAACUGUUGAAACAAGAGCAUCCACUCGUAGCACAUUACAGUCACUCUUGAAGCCUUAAAACCGCACCGAAGAGUGAACCGCUGUUAAAAUGCACUCAAACUGUUCGCGUUCCAGCCCACACACUGUGAGAUCCAUUUGAAUUUGAUUUCUUCUGUGUCUUUUUCUCUCUUUGGUUUGAUUUUCAUGCAUUGUUUCAUACUCACUAUCCAGGGAAGGGUGUUGUGUCUUUUUCUCUUGCAUUUUGUGAAUCUAAUGAUGCACUUAUGUUGCCCCACUUUUCCCUUCUCUUCAUACCUUACCUACUAAAGGAGGGAAUACCACUUUAUUGAAGCUUCGAUCUCUGGCUCCGUCUCCCUCGAGCACGCAGACGCACGCGUCGCCUCAUCUAAGAGUUGCUAAACACCACGCCGACCGUCCCAAGAGCCCUGGAGGACCAGCAGCGCAGACGGGACAGGACGGCUGCGCAGACGACAGGCCGGCGAUGGGCAAACCGCUCUCAGAGUCAUCGGGGAGAUGCGUCGGGAGGCCGAGGGUUCGAGAGAAGGCGUCGCACUCACCGGCGCACAGCAGCGACACUGAGCCACACACCAAACCCAAGAAUCAGAAGAAAACGAAAGCAUCUCAUUCGUCUAAGCGGCACCAUCGCGGACGCGCUCAGAAGCGCCACCGGAGUUCCUCUGUGUCACCGGGUCGGCACAAACACACGUCCAAGAAGAAGAAGAGCAAGAGUCACGGGACGGCCCGGCAGAGGAGCAGCUCCUGGAGCAGCGGGAGGUCAUCGUCACGAGCUCAUUCUAGAGAACGCGGAUCCAGCAAGAACAAAUCACCGCACUGUCAUGUCCGACAGAACAACUCCAGGGAGAGAGACAGUCCUCAUCAUUCGGAUGCAGAACGAGCCCGCCGCCGCUCGCGCAGCUAUUCUCCCAUCCGCAAGAGACGGAGAGACUCUCCCAGCUUUAUGGAAGCUCGCAGGAUCACCAGGUAAAGACAUCUCACACCGCCUCAGGAGUCUGUAGGUGUUUCUCCUUCUGUUUUUGUUUGGGAAUGCAUGGCCAUUUCUUCAUUUACAGGCUGUUUUCAGGUGUCAUAACUGCACUAUCUAGAGGCAAAUGUUUCUUUUUUCAAGCAUAUUUCA